CAGAAUGUGACUCCAAUUUUGCCUUUUUUGCUAGUGGUCACACUCUGAAGGCCUAAAAGCUCCGAGAUCAAAAGAAGAGAAUCACAUUAACUUCUCCCCACUUUGGUGGCAUUGAAUAUAUAACAACAGUUUGCUUCCAAAAGAGAAAGCUGGAAGUCAUUGGAACCUGAGCUGGAUAGGUGGUAGAUCGACGGUGGAGGAAGGUGGAGUCAUCAACAGCUGCAAAUAAAGAACUGGAAAACCUAUAAGACGUGACCUGAACGAAGAACCUCUGUAUCUCUGUGUGAACAGUUUUUAGCCCAAGGAACUGCAUCUGAAUGAAGUAUACUGUCGCCAGGUUCCCAAGGUUCAGAGACAGCUGAUCAAAAGAUUGGUAAGACCUUGUUCACAGGGACUACGCUUUGCUGUGUGGAGUCAAAUUUGCCAAGGAGAGAUCAGCUGAUGUGCUUCUGUUUCAUAGUCAACCCUGGGUGAAGGAAAGGAGUUCCACUUUCAGAGAAGAAAGGAUACAGGCUAAAUCAACUCCUGGUGAAAAAUUCUUCCUUCUUGGGAAAUUAUAUUUGCAAAGCUGCAUGAAAGGUAUCUCUGUUUAGUAAUAGAUUAGACUGCUAAUCAAGUCCUCUGUGUUGUGGUCAUUUUUGCUAUCCUGGGUGAAUAGAUCAUGAUGUUAAUGGCGCCACUGAUGGUCAUGUGGGCAUUUGAGGAGAUAAGCACCAUAUGGCAUGAGGAUUGACAUUGCAAACUGAUGUUGGAGACUGUGCCUAGAGAAGGGGAAAAUUCAACUCCUUACUCCUAAAUAUGCUAACUGUAGCGAAAAGGUGCUGGAACUUUUCCAUAUUAACUGUUACAUCAGCAGACUGAUGAAAGUCAGGAUACUGCACAUUAGCGGGUAUAGUAAGCUAAUAGUAAGUCAUAGGGAUUUGAGUUAAAUGGCAGGCCUA
RNAcentral lists this long non-coding RNA (941 nucleotides) under Struthio camelus australis. RNAcentral's name for it is "lncRNA (ENSSCUG00000001929.1)". The record is from RNAcentral. Lineage: Eukaryota; Metazoa; Chordata; Aves; Struthioniformes; Struthionidae.